GAGAUGUUGGGUUAAGUCCCGCAACGAGCGCAACCCUUGUCAUUAGUUGCUACAUUUAGUUGGGCACUCUAAUGAGACUGCCGGUGACAAACCGGAGGAAGGUGGGGAUGACGUCAAGUCCUCAUGGCCCUUAUAGGUGGGGCUACACACGUCAUACAAUGGCUGGUACARAGGGUUGCCAACCCGCGAGGGGGAGCUAAUCCCAUAAAGCCAGUCGUAGUCCGGAUCGCAGUCUGCAACUCGACUGCGUGAAGUCGGAAUCGCUAGUAAUCGCGGAUCA
This 280-nucleotide ribosomal RNA is filed under the name uncultured bacterium. RNAcentral's name for it is "partial 16S ribosomal RNA". It matches the Rfam family "Bacterial small subunit ribosomal RNA", at positions 1069 to 1351 of the family's 1533-position model. The record is from RNAcentral.